AGUGAACGCUGGCGGUAGGCCUAACACAUGCAAGUCGAACGGCAGCACAGUAAGAGCUUGCUCUUACGGGUGGCGCGUGGCGGACGGGUGAGGAAUACAUCGGAAUCUACUUUUUCGUGGGGGAUAACGUAGGGAAACUUACGCUAAUACCGCAUACGACCUACUGGUGAAAGCAGGGGAUCUUCGGACCUUGUGCGAUUGAAUGAGCCGAUGUCGGAUUAGCUAGUUGGCGGGGUAAAGGCCCACCAAGGCGACGAUCCGUAGCUGGUCUGACAGGAUGAUCAGACAGACUGGAACUGAGACACGGUCCCGACUCCUACGGUAGGCAGCAGUGGGGAAUAUUGGACAAUGGGCGCAAGCCUGAUACAGCCAUACCGCGUGGGUGAAGAAGGAGUUCGGGUUGGAAAGCCCUGUUGUUGGGAAAGAAAAGCAGCAGGUUAACACCCCGCGGUUCUGACGGUACCCAAAGAAUAAGCACCGGCUAACUUCGUG
RNAcentral lists this ribosomal RNA (492 nucleotides) under uncultured bacterium. RNAcentral describes it as "partial 16S ribosomal RNA". It matches the Rfam family "Bacterial small subunit ribosomal RNA", at positions 29 to 507 of the family's 1533-position model. The record is from RNAcentral.